CAGUAGCCGCGGGAAUACAGAGGGUGCAAGCGUUAAUCGGAUUUACUGGGCGUAAAGGGCGCGUAGGCGGCGAUCAAAGUCAGGCGUGAAAUUCCUGGGCUCAACCUGGGGGCUGCGCUUGAUACUGGGUUGCUUGAGUGGGGAGGAGGGUCGUGGAAUUCCCAGUGUAGAGGUGAAAUUCGUAGAUAUUGGGAAGAACACCGGUGGCGAAGGCGGCGACCUGGUCCUUUACUGACGCUCAUGCACGAAAGCGUGGGGAGCAAACAGGAUUAGAUACCCGCGUAGUCCCUGUCUCUUAUAC
Molecule: ribosomal RNA, 301 nt
Filed under: uncultured bacterium
Lineage: Bacteria
Description: partial 16S ribosomal RNA
Rfam family: Bacterial small subunit ribosomal RNA
Source: RNAcentral